Molecule: small RNA, 20 nt
Filed under: Arabidopsis thaliana (thale cress)
Lineage: Eukaryota; Viridiplantae; Streptophyta; Magnoliopsida; Brassicales; Brassicaceae
Description: ATSL182310
Source: RNAcentral
UUUCUUUCUCUGUUCUGUAU